RNAcentral lists this transfer RNA (64 nucleotides) under Pelagococcus subviridis. It matches the Rfam family "tRNA", at positions 6 to 65 of the family's 71-position model. From Rfam's summary of the family: Transfer RNA (tRNA) molecules are approximately 80 nucleotides in length. Their secondary structure includes four short double-helical elements and three loops (D, anti-codon, and T loops). Further hydrogen bonds mediate the characteristic L-shaped molecular structure. tRNAs have two regions of fundamental functional importance: the anti-codon, which is responsible for specific mRNA codon recognition, and the 3' end, to which the tRNAs corresponding amino acid is attached (by aminoacyl-tRNA synthetases). tRNAs cope with the degeneracy of the genetic code in two manners: having more than one tRNA (with a specific anti-codon) for a particular amino acid; and 'wobble' base-pairing, i.e. permitting non-standard base-pairing at the 3rd anti-codon position. Lineage: Eukaryota; Pelagophyceae; Pelagomonadales; Pelagomonadaceae. The record is from RNAcentral.
AGUGAUCUAGUGGUCAGGAUGUCUGUCUUACACACAGAAUGUCGCGGGUUCGAACCCCGCCUUG